Long non-coding RNA from Hevea brasiliensis (rubber tree), 261 nucleotides. RefSeq lists it as uncharacterized. NCBI's taxonomy places the organism in Eukaryota, Viridiplantae, Streptophyta, Magnoliopsida, Malpighiales, Euphorbiaceae. The transcript has 3 exons. The record is from RefSeq and is a predicted model, not a curated record.
CCCAUCUGCCUCGGUCCCUUCCUUCAAGAAUCCUAUCUUGAUUCCUGUUUUCAUAAAUUUUGUUACAGUUGCAUUUUGAAUUGGACUAAAGUAGUUGCUGGCAAGCAUUCUCAUGCACCUUCUUCUGUAAAAUGUCCUUUGUGCAAGACAGAAAACUGUUCAAUAAUUUAUGGAUACGAUGGAAGUUCAUUCCAAAGGUAGUAUAUAAAUGACAGUUUUGAGCUUAGGUACCUAUUUCUAUAUUCUUGUUUUUCCCUUUCA